GCAGAACGCGAAGAACCUUACCCACACUUGACAUGCCUCUUGGGACUUUCAGAGAUGAUUGUUUUCGGUUCGGCCGGGGAGGACACAGGUGCUGCAUGGCUGUCGUCAGCUCGUGUCGUGAGAUGUUGGGUUAAGUCCCGCAACGAGCGCAACCCUUAUCGUAUGUUGCCACCAUUUAGUUGGGCACUCAUGCGAGACUGCCGGUGAUAAGCCGGAGGAAGGCGGGGACGACGUCAAGUCAUCAUGGCCCUUACGUGUGGGGCUAGAAACGUGCUACAAUGGUGGUGACAGUGGGCAGCGAGGUCGUGAGGCCAAGCUAAUCCCUGAAAGCCAUCUCAGUUCAGAUUGUAGUCUGCAACUCGACUACAUGAAGUUGGAAUCGCUAGUAAUCGUGAAUCAGCAUGUCACGGUGAAUACGUUCCCGGGUCUUGUACACACCG
This 440-nucleotide ribosomal RNA is filed under the name uncultured bacterium. RNAcentral's name for it is "bacterial SSU rRNA". It matches the Rfam family "Bacterial small subunit ribosomal RNA", at positions 954 to 1392 of the family's 1533-position model. The record is from RNAcentral.